Molecule: unclassified non-coding RNA, 318 nt
Filed under: uncultured fungus
Lineage: Eukaryota; Fungi
Description: partial contains small subunit ribosomal RNA, internal transcribed spacer 1, and 5.8S ribosomal RNA
Rfam family: Eukaryotic small subunit ribosomal RNA (bases 1-73)
Source: RNAcentral
ACAAACUUGGUCAUUUAGAGGAAGUAAAAGUCGUAACAAGGUUUCCGUAGGUGAACCUGCGGAAGGAUCAUUAACAAUUGUCCACCACAAUGGAUAAUUUUUUAUCCAUAUCCACCUUGUGUGAAUUCACUGACUUGUUUAUUGGCAGGUUAGGAUGCUGUAUUGGUUUCCGUGGCCUGCUGCUGCUGGCCGGCCUACCAAUUUUAUUUUGUUUAAAACAUGUCUAAAUAAUUUCUGGUCUGAAAUUGUAUAUUAUAAUAAUAUAAUACAACUUUCAACAACGGAUCUCUUGGCUCUCGCAUCGAUGAAGAACGCAGC